CCAGUUGAAAAGCCUCAGACCCUAGGGAUUGGAUGGCUUGUCCAUACUUUUGGGUAGCCAGCUCAUCUAGAACCCCUAAAAAACAUUCCAAGGUGGUAGAAUGUGUUUUUACGCGAGGUCUCUAAGCUUAGUCUUAGGGAAGAGACUCAACCAAACUUUCCCACAAGUAGAUAUUAUAAGGCUAGAAAACCAGAUGCUCAGAGACACGCAAGAAACUUGUGUCCAUGAAGAUGAAGAUAGAUGGUUGAACACGAAUGAAGAACAUACCUAGGCAACUUACUGAAGCAGAGGAUCUCAAGAACAAUCCUAC
RNAcentral lists this long non-coding RNA (310 nucleotides) under Hordeum vulgare. Its description in RNAcentral is "long non-coding RNA (HVUL_LNC012060)". Lineage: Eukaryota; Viridiplantae; Streptophyta; Magnoliopsida; Poales; Poaceae. The record is from RNAcentral.